Ochotona curzoniae (black-lipped pika) is the source of this 561-nucleotide long non-coding RNA. RefSeq lists it as uncharacterized. Lineage: Eukaryota; Metazoa; Chordata; Mammalia; Lagomorpha; Ochotonidae. The record is from RefSeq and is a predicted model, not a curated record. The transcript has 2 exons.
UCCAGUUUGUUCUGUCCUCCUUCUUCUGCUGUGGUACCAGAUCAACUGGUACACAAAUCAGUUCCCAUGUAGGAUGUUAGCAUCACAGGCAGCAGCCUACCUUGCCUUGCCACAAUGUGGGCCCCCAAAGCCAACAUUCUUCAUAUAGGAUGGCUCAGAUGCCUCUUGGGGCAGCAGUUAGCACAUCUAAGUCCUGCCUGUUUUUGAAGAGCUGGGCUUGGUAACUCUAGCACAGGGGCCCCAGUCCUGGCAUCUGUUAACUAGGUGAAGGUGGUGGUUUAUUCUCUUUCCCUAGGGAGGGGGUCCUUGUUUUGUCUUGCUCUUGAGAGCCUGCUCUGGGGCUUUCAUGUAGGCAUCCAUAAUCUGCAAUAUCCUGUUAGUCCCAGAAAUGCUAGAGAUGUCUUAAGGUGAUAGGACUGAGAAUUUACUGCAUAGUUUGUACCCACUCUAGGGCCAGUUCCUGCUCCCAGAGGGCAGGAUAAGUCCAAGAGUUUACCUCCUGGCUCAUGUGUCAGUCUUUUUCCUUGGGUACCUAAUGGCCACAUUCUGUUAGGAAUUUAA